ACACAGACCAACCGCCCAGACAGGCCUCAGACAAGUCAGGAUGAGGCUGGGAUUGCAGGUUCUGCUUCUGGAAGCUGACCUCCUGUAAGGCGGCCAUCACAGGGCUUGGGCCACUUACCCAGGAGGCCAACUAAGACACGGCGUCUUGGCUCGGAUUCAGCACCUCCAUCAUCCCCACCCAGGCGAAGACUUUCGGCAGUGUCACCCCAGCCACCACUGGCACUAUUGGCGAGUUCGCAGAGUGAUGAGCCCAGAUCACCUCAGUUAUCUGAGCACAACUUGAUGUCCGCCGUGGACCAGCAGGGCCCAGACCAACAGCCAUCCAUCACACUGCAACUUACAGCUGUUGACCCAAGCCUGCCAAUACAGUUGCAGGAUAUACCCCAAGCAUCCAUCAGUCCCCAACUGGCACAAGCUCCGCCCCCAAGCCAAAUUCCAGACGAAUUUUGGGCCAGUUGGACAAGCCAACAGGCCCAAAGCAAUGCCAGCCUGACCCAACAUACACAACACCUUGCCAGUCUGCCCCAUCAUCUACCGCGUAUUAGUCGCAACUCGGGCAGACUGAUAGUACAAGUAGGGCGAAUGGCUACCUCAAUGGAGCAAAUUAGGGCUGAAAACAGCCAAAUGAAUGCACAUUUAUCCCGCAUUAUAGAUGAGCAACAGCGCCAUCAGCAGGCACUCGUUCAGCUCAUUCAACACAAUCAAGUGGUGAAUGAGUCCUUAUC
Molecule: long non-coding RNA, 725 nt
Organism: Pseudophryne corroboree (corroboree frog)
Lineage: Eukaryota; Metazoa; Chordata; Amphibia; Anura; Myobatrachidae
Exons: 3
Source: RefSeq, a predicted model, not a curated record